RNAcentral lists this transfer RNA (69 nucleotides) under Japyx solifugus. RNAcentral's name for it is "tRNA-Val". Lineage: Eukaryota; Metazoa; Arthropoda; Diplura; Dicellurata; Japygidae. The record is from RNAcentral.
CAAAGUAGAGUCAGUUAGUUUGACAAUUCAUUUACACUGAGUAGUUUCUGUGCAAUUCAGAUAUUUUGA